GUGUCAGCCGCCGCGGUAAUACGUACUGUGCAAACGUUAUUCGGAAUCACUGGGCUUAAAGGGUGUGUAGGCGGCCAGCUAAGUAGGGUGUGAAAGGCCUCGGCUCAACCGGGGCAUUGCGCUCUAAACUGACUGGCUUGAGUAAGAUAGGGGUGUGCGGAACUUCCAGUGGAGCGGUGAAAUGUGUUGAUAUUGGAAAGAACGCCGGUGGCGAAAGCGGCACACUGGGUCUUGACUGACGCUGAGACACGAAAGCCAGGGUAGCGAACGGGAUUAGAUACCCCGGUAGUCCUGGCUGUAAACGAUGAGCACUAGUUGGGAGGGGCCUCGGCCCAUCCGAACGCAGCGAAAGCAUUAAGUGCUCCGCCUGGGGAGUAUGGUCGCAAGGCUGAA
This 393-nucleotide ribosomal RNA is filed under the name uncultured bacterium. RNAcentral describes it as "bacterial SSU rRNA". It matches the Rfam family "Bacterial small subunit ribosomal RNA", at positions 505 to 898 of the family's 1533-position model. The record is from RNAcentral.